Molecule: ribosomal RNA, 459 nt
Filed under: uncultured bacterium
Lineage: Bacteria
Description: bacterial SSU rRNA
Rfam family: Bacterial small subunit ribosomal RNA
Source: RNAcentral
AACGAACGCUGGCGGCGCGCCUAAUACAUGCAAGUCGAGCGAGAAGACGUAGCAAUACGUUUGUAAAGCGGCGAACGGGUGAGGAAUACAUGGGUAACCUACCCUCGAGUGGGGAAUAACUAGCCGAAAGGUUAGCUAAUACCGCGUACGCUCCUUGGACUUCGGUUCAGGGAGGAAAGCGAUACCGUGGGUAUCGCGCUCUUGGAUGGGCUCAUGUCCUAUCAGCUUGUUGGUGAGGUAACGGCUCACCAAGGCUUCGACGGGUAGCUGGUCUGAGAGGGCGAUCAGCCACACUGGCACUGCGACACGGGCCAGACUCCUACGGGAGGCAGCAGUAAGGAAUAUUGCGCAAUGGGCGAAAGCCUGACGCAGCGACGCCGCGUGGGGGAUGAAGGUCUUCGGAUUGUAACCCCUUUCGGGAGGGAAGAUGGAAUGAGCAAUCGUUCGGACGGUACCUCC